This 545-nucleotide long non-coding RNA is filed under the name Felis catus (domestic cat). Its description in RNAcentral is "lncRNA (ENSFCAG00000053038.1)". The record is from RNAcentral. Lineage: Eukaryota; Metazoa; Chordata; Mammalia; Carnivora; Felidae.
GAAAGACCAGGUUCCCCACUGCGGGUCCCGCCCCUCAGAUGCUACAGACACAGAGUCGGCUUGCUCCCCGUAGAAUAUGGUUCUGGAGACCCACAGCAUUGCAAAGGCAGAGAAACCGGCGAUCAUUGCCACUGCUGGGCCUUAGACCAUGCCUCUGACUCAAAGGAAGUGCCCUUGGGGGUGAAGAGCCCCAGGGAAUCUGAUGGAAGGCACUGGAAGUUGGCAAACCUUUUCUGUGAAGGACCAGAUGGUAAAUAUUCUGGGCUUCACGGGCCGGAGGUCUCCAUCGCAGCUCCUUGGGUCUGCUGCUGCAGCCGGAAAGCCGUCGACAAAACGUACAUGGUGAGUGUGGCUGUGCCCCCAGAACAUUUUAUUCACAAAAACAGGUGGCGGGUGGGAUUAGUAGGAAGCAAAAACACUGGAGUUUUGAGAGGAAAAUACUGGAGAGAUAGCUCGGAAACCAUCGGCCAGGCAUGCAGAACUCCCCUCACAGAGGGAGUGAAGACACUCUCAGAUAUCCCAGCAACUGGACUGUUUGAGUCCUC